Molecule: ribosomal RNA, 483 nt
Filed under: uncultured bacterium
Lineage: Bacteria
Description: bacterial SSU rRNA
Rfam family: Bacterial small subunit ribosomal RNA
Source: RNAcentral
GCACAACGCGAAGAACCUUACCUACUCUUGUAUCCUCUUUUCGACUUUCAGAGAUGAUUGUCUUCGGUUCGGCCGGGAGAGUGACAGGUGCUGCAUGGCUGUCGUCAGCUCGUGUCGUGAGAUGUUGGGUUAAGUCCCGCAACGAGCGCAACCCUCAUCGUAUGUUGCCAUCAGGUAAUGCUGGGCACUCGUGCGAGACCGCCGGUGAUAAGCCGGAGGAAGGUGGGGACGACGUCAAGUCAUCAUGGCCCUUACGAGUAGGGCUACAAACGUGCUACAAUGGUGGUGACAGUGAGCAGCCACUCCGCAAGGAGGAGCUAAUCUCUAAAAGCCAUCUCAGUUCAGAUUGUCCUCUGCAACUCGAGGGCAUGAAGUUGGAAUCGCUAGUAAUCGUGGAUCAGCAUGCCACGGUGAAUACGUUCCCGGGUCUUGUACACACCGGAGGUCGGUGGGGGAGGGCAAGGGGCACGACAGGGGGGGAUA